RNAcentral lists this unclassified non-coding RNA (177 nucleotides) under Wickerhamiella sp. UFMG-CM-Y2274. Lineage: Eukaryota; Fungi; Ascomycota; Dipodascomycetes; Dipodascales; Trichomonascaceae. The record is from RNAcentral.
ACUAAAUCUCGGUUUAGUGGUAUUGAGUGGUACUCUAUUACAGGGUUAGCUUGAAAUAUCAGUAGUGCGAGUGGUCGAAGCGACUGUCUCUCUGGAUAAUGUAUUAGGUUCUGCCAACUCGUUAGACAGGGGUGAUUGUAAUUCUUCUACUAUUAGCUCCACUCUCCUAUCUCAAAG